UAUGUGAUCGUCUCUCGCAUAUCAAUAAGCGGAGGAAAAGAAACUAACAAGGAUUCCCCUAGUAACGGCGAGUGAAGCGGGAAGAGCUCAAAUUUGAAAUCUUAAAGGGUUUCCCUUUACGAAUUGUAGUUUAAAGAAGUGUUUUCUGUUGAGGUUUUGGUAAAAGUUCUUUGGAAUAGGACAUCAUAGAGGGUGAGAAUCCCGUAUUCGACCUUUACUUUCAACUUUGUGAUACACUUUCAAAGAGUCGGAUUGUUUGGGAAUGCAGUCCAAAAUGGGUGGUAAAUUUCAUCUAAAGCUAAAUAUUGGCGAGAGACCGAUAGCGAACAAGUACCGUGAGGGAAAGAUGAAAAGAACUUUGAAAAGAGAGUUAAACAGUACGUGAAAUUGUCAAAAGGGAAGCGUUUGACACCAGUGUUGUUUUUCUGAAAAUCAAUUAAAGAACUGUUUAUGCUAAGUUGUUUAGACUUUAUCAGCUAACUGUUUAGUUUUGAGCUUUUCUUUAAUGCACUUUUCAGUUAACAAGUCAACAUCAAUUUCUUUUGCUGUAAAAAAGCUUGAGGAAGGUGGCUUGAGAUUCGUCUUAAGUGUUUAUAGCCUCUUGCCUAUGCAGUCGGAGAGAUUGAGGUCUGCAGCGUAGAUCCUUCGGGGCUAAAUGCAUUUGUGCUAAGUUAUAGCAUUUUAUAGACAACUUGUUGACUAUGAUUUGUCUUGUAGCUUACUCGCUUAUGUUAUUUUACCUACGCUUAGGAUGUUGACACACGCGCGUGCUCG
RNAcentral lists this ribosomal RNA (774 nucleotides) under uncultured Neocallimastigales. Its description in RNAcentral is "partial large subunit ribosomal RNA". It matches the Rfam family "Eukaryotic large subunit ribosomal RNA", at positions 24 to 643 of the family's 3401-position model. Lineage: Eukaryota; Fungi; Neocallimastigomycota; Neocallimastigomycetes; Neocallimastigales. The record is from RNAcentral.